GACGGAGGAUGCAAGCGUUAUCCGGAAUGAUUGGGCGUAAAGCGUCCGCAGGUGGCAGUUCAAGUCUGCUGUCAAAGACCGGGGCUUAACUUCGGAAAGGCAGUGGAAACUGAACAGCUAGAGUAUGGUAGGGGCAGAGGGAAUUCCUGGUGUAGCGGUGAAAUGCGCAGAUAUCAGGAGGAACACCUAUUGCGAAGGCAGCUCGCUGGGACGUAACUGACGCUGAGACGCGAAAGCGUGGGGAGCAAACAGG
Molecule: ribosomal RNA, 253 nt
Filed under: uncultured bacterium
Lineage: Bacteria
Description: partial 16S ribosomal RNA
Rfam family: Bacterial small subunit ribosomal RNA
Source: RNAcentral